GAGUAACGCGUGGGUAACCUACCCUGUACACACGGAUAACAUACUGAAAGGUAUGCUAAUACGGGAUAAUAUAUUUGAGAGGCAUCUCUUGAAUAUCAAAGGUGAGCCAGUACAGGAUGGACCCGCGUCUGAUUAGCUAGUUGGUAAGGUAACGGCUUACCAAGGCAACGAUCAGUAGCCGACCUGAGAGGGUGAUCGGCCACAUUGGAACUGAGACACGGUCCAAACUCCUACGGGAGGCAGCAGUGGGGAAUAUUGCACAAUGGGCGAAAGCCGGAUGCAGCAACGCCGCGUGAGUGAUGAAGGCCUUCGGGUC
This 316-nucleotide ribosomal RNA is filed under the name Clostridioides difficile. Its description in RNAcentral is "bacterial SSU rRNA". It matches the Rfam family "Bacterial small subunit ribosomal RNA", at positions 108 to 424 of the family's 1533-position model. Lineage: Bacteria; Bacillati; Bacillota; Clostridia; Peptostreptococcales; Peptostreptococcaceae. The record is from RNAcentral.